GAGGUUGUAGUUCAGCUGGUUAGAAUGUCGGAUUGUGAUUCCGAAGGUCGCGGGUUCGAACCCCGUCAUCCUCC
This 74-nucleotide transfer RNA is filed under the name Chitinophagaceae bacterium. RNAcentral describes it as "tRNA-His". It matches the Rfam family "tRNA". From Rfam's summary of the family: Transfer RNA (tRNA) molecules are approximately 80 nucleotides in length. Their secondary structure includes four short double-helical elements and three loops (D, anti-codon, and T loops). The record is from RNAcentral. Lineage: Bacteria; Pseudomonadati; Bacteroidota; Chitinophagia; Chitinophagales; Chitinophagaceae.